CUGACGCAUCACAAUAUUCUGCUGUUUGCGGGAUGACAGAAAGAACAUUUGUCGCAUGAUCAGCCUAUAUAAAACGGUUCUGCGGCCUGAAUCUUGUAAAGAUUAAGGAAAGAUGGCGUCCAACUCACACAUUUUUAUUAUACUGCGUCUUGCUGUAGUCCUCUUGGUGUUAAACGCGUGGACCUGCAAAGGAUCAUUUGACGAAGAAGCGAUCAAAAAAAGCUGCAAACCUUGGGAGACGUUCGGCUGCGUCAGCGGAUCUCCAGCAUGUGGUGAAAACGAAUGCGGCGUCGAAAAAAGGCAUUUAUCCUGUACCAAAGACUGUAGCAUUGGAUGUUGGUGUCAAGGCGAUUUGUACCGCCGAAAACGAGACAACAAGUGCGUCCCAAAAGACGACUGUCUACCGUGAGACCUUUCGUUCAACAAGGUAUCCCUGCAAAAAUUUAAAUUGUGGAAUGAUGAAUAAUAAAAUAAUCCUUCCGCAGAAA
Long non-coding RNA from Rhipicephalus microplus (southern cattle tick), 488 nucleotides. RefSeq lists it as uncharacterized. The record is from RefSeq and is a predicted model, not a curated record. Lineage: Eukaryota; Metazoa; Arthropoda; Arachnida; Ixodida; Ixodidae.